AAGGCCAAGACAAUAGUAAUGGUCAUGCGGAGUGUGCGAGCUCGCGCCCUUUCAAUGUGCGUCAUGUUGGAACGGCGUAGGUGAAGCCGACCUCUAUACUGCUGCCCUCUCGUGAGAUGAUCUACAAGAACAAUAACUAACGGCUUAGGAUCACCUUCAUUGUCACGUGAUCUUCUGGAGAUAACCCACAGGAUGCGAGAGUAACAAAAGAUUAUGAUGGCCAGUGGCACAAGGUACAAAGCCAGAAUACAGAAGAUGUUAUAAGCUCUGUCUUGCCCAACCUCGGAAAAAAAACCAAAGCUCACACAUUGUUCAAAAUCGGGAUACUCUGGAUGCUGCUGAACUCGAAACACGACACUCUGUUAAAGAUUACAAAAAAGGCAGCUAGACAACACCAACCACCGCCAACUCUUGGGCUCCUGUUCUCAUACCGAAUAGUGAGAUUUGACCGUCACUCUUGUAACGUACCCACCAAGUUCUUACACGUCAAAUAAAUGAAACUGAAACCAACCCGAAGAUCGCCGAAAGGUGUAUAUCAGAAAAGUGGAACAGACAGUCUCGGCUGCGUAUAUUUUUAUAUUCUUGUAAGCAACAAUAAUAAACUAACACUGCAACAAUUUUCUGAAUGUAACAACUAUACGUUUCAAUAUAAACAUGCAUUUAACAUUAUGCAAUACUUA
Molecule: long non-coding RNA, 680 nt
Organism: Limulus polyphemus (Atlantic horseshoe crab)
Lineage: Eukaryota; Metazoa; Arthropoda; Merostomata; Xiphosura; Limulidae
Exons: 3
Source: RefSeq, a predicted model, not a curated record